RNAcentral lists this transfer RNA (68 nucleotides) under Vibidia duodecimguttata (twelve-spotted ladybird beetle). Its description in RNAcentral is "tRNA-Leu". The record is from RNAcentral. Lineage: Eukaryota; Metazoa; Arthropoda; Insecta; Coleoptera; Coccinellidae.
UCUAAUGUGGCAGAAUAGUGCACUGGACUUAAACCCCAAUUAUAAAGUUAUUAAAACUUUUUUUAGAA